GAAAUGCGAUAAGUAAUGUGAAUUGCAGAAUUCAGUGAAUCAUCGAAUCUUUGAACGCACCUUGUGCUCCUUGGUAUUCCUUGGAGCAUGCCUGUUUGAGUAUCAUGAAAUCUUCAAAGUAAAUCUUUUGUUAACUCAAUUGGUUUCUACUUUGGUAUUGGAGGUCUUUGCAGCUUCACACCUGCUCCUCUUUGUUCAUUAGCUGGAUCUCAGUGUUAUGCUUGGUUCCACUCGGCGUGAUAAGUUAUCUAUCGCUGAGGACACUGUAAAAGGUGGCCAAGGUAAAUGCAGAUGAACCGCUUCUAAUAGUCCAUUGACUUGGACAAUACUUUUAUGAUCUGAUCUCAAAUCAGGUAGGACUACCCUCUGAACUUAAGC
This 378-nucleotide unclassified non-coding RNA is filed under the name plant metagenome. RNAcentral's name for it is "partial contains 5.8S ribosomal RNA, internal transcribed spacer 2, and large subunit ribosomal RNA". The stretch from base 1 to 105 matches the Rfam family "5.8S ribosomal RNA", at positions 50 to 154 of the family's 154-position model. The record is from RNAcentral.